UGAGGAAUAUUGGUCAAUGGGCGCAAGCCUGAACCAGCCAUCCCGCGUGAAGGAUGAAGGCCCUAUGGGUCGUAAACUUCUUUUAUACACCAAGAAAAAGCAGGACGAGUCCUGCCCCGACGGUAGUGUAUGAAUAAGCAUCGGCUAACUCCGUGCCAGCAGCCGCGGUAAUACGGAGGAUGCGAGCGUUAUCCGGAUUCAUUGGGUUUAAAGGGUGCGUAGGCGGCUUUUUAAGUCAGUGGUGAAAUCUUGCCGCUUAACGGUAAAAUUGCCAUUGAUACUGAUAAGCUUGAGUACAAUUGAGGUAAGCGGAAUGUGUAGUGUAGCGGUGAAAUGCUUAGAUAUUACACAGAACACCGAUUGCGAAGGCAGGUGGCUACGAUUUGUUUGACACUGAGGCACGAAAGCAUGGGGAGCAAACA
RNAcentral lists this ribosomal RNA (422 nucleotides) under uncultured bacterium. Its description in RNAcentral is "bacterial SSU rRNA". It matches the Rfam family "Bacterial small subunit ribosomal RNA", at positions 355 to 774 of the family's 1533-position model. The record is from RNAcentral.